UACGAAGGGGGCUAGCGUUGUUCGGAAUUACUGGGCGUAAAGCGUGCGCAGGCGGCUUCUCAAGUCAGGGGUGAAAGCCCAGAGCUCAACUCUGGAAUUGCCUUUGAGACUGAGUGGCUUGAGUACGAGAGAGGUGAGUGGAAUUCCCAGUGUAGAGGUGAAAUGCGCAGAUAUCGGGAAGAACACCCGUGGCGAAGGCGGCUCUCUGGGACGGUACUGACGCUGAGGCGCGAAAGCGUGGGGAGCGAACAGG
RNAcentral lists this ribosomal RNA (253 nucleotides) under uncultured bacterium. Its description in RNAcentral is "partial 16S ribosomal RNA". It matches the Rfam family "Bacterial small subunit ribosomal RNA", at positions 524 to 776 of the family's 1533-position model. The record is from RNAcentral.